UACGUAGGGGGCGAGCGUUGUCCGGAUUUAUUGGGCGUAAAGAGCUCGUAGGCGGUUCGAUAAGUCGGAUGUGAAAUCUCCACGCUCAACGUGGAGGGGCCAUUCGAUACUGUCGUGACUCGAGUCCGGUAGGGGAGUGUGGAAUUCCCGGUGUAGCGGUGAAAUGCGCAGAGAUCGGGAGGAACACCGGUGGCGAAGGCGGGUCUCUGGGCCGAUAUCGACGCUGAGGAGCGAAAGCGUGGGGAGCGAACAGG
This 254-nucleotide ribosomal RNA is filed under the name uncultured bacterium. RNAcentral's name for it is "partial 16S ribosomal RNA". It matches the Rfam family "Bacterial small subunit ribosomal RNA", at positions 524 to 776 of the family's 1533-position model. The record is from RNAcentral.